RNAcentral lists this long non-coding RNA (2635 nucleotides) under Nicotiana tabacum (common tobacco). RNAcentral describes it as "long non-coding RNA (NTAB_LNC004963)". Lineage: Eukaryota; Viridiplantae; Streptophyta; Magnoliopsida; Solanales; Solanaceae. The record is from RNAcentral.
GGCUCCUCCAAUGAUUUCUCAAAUUAUGCGCUGGUGGUGGCGGUGUUAGUAUACCUCUGCCCUUAUUCCUGUCUAAACCUUUUAGCUCUCCGGCGGCCUUGAGUUGAGAAACCAUUAAUUCCUUGUUAGAAAAUUGUUGUGCGGACUUUAAUGCUUCUACUGAAAGGCUAGAACACUUGUCAUCCACCACGACCAAUUCAUGGAUGAGUAAGGAUAUCAGUAGACAUGGAAUUAUAUCUGGCCUCAUUAUUAUUGUUUCAAUUUCUAGAGAUGGAGCUAAAGACUGUUCUGAAAACUAAGUGAGAAUUAUAUAUGAUUGGUAUCUGGAGAGAAGAGGUAACCCUAGUUGUGAGAGUUUGACUAUUAUAUACCAUAUGUAGUAAUACCAUCGAUUUUUAACUACUUAAGUUUUUAGAUAAAAUAUUCACUUAAUUUAACAUUGUAUAAGAACAAGCAUAAUUAAGUCUUGGAUGCAAAGUAUUACCACCAUACACUAUCAAAAAACAUUGCGUGCUUGGCUCAAAAUAAAGAGUCAGAGAUUCGCACGUGAGGAACUUAUAUUAAAUCUAAGAUAAAUAUAUAAAUUUGUGUCAUGUCUGACUAAUUAAACAUUUAUAUCAUCUACCCAACUUAUUUGAGACUGAAGCGUAAUUAUUAUUGUUGAUUAUUAUACCUCACCAUAAACAUAAUUUCUUAAAUAUAACUUUGUGUUACACUCAAAUAAUAAAAAAAUUCAUUAUUUUAUCGUGUUCUGAGUCAUUUUUUCUGAUACAUAAAUCUUUUUAAGAUGACUUUUGGUCACUAAAUAGGGUGAUCACUCCAAAAGAAGAAGAAAAAAACAAAAUUUAAGAAUAGAUAUCCAAAUUCAACUUAGCAUGUAGAGCUCGCUCUAAUUUUUGGAUUAUUAUUUCGCACAUAUCAUUGGGAUGAAAUAUUGACAAACUGAGAAGAAAUCAUAUUAAGCAUUAGAAACAUAAAUAAAAUUUUGAUCAAAAGAAUAUGAAAAAAUGAACCUUAAGCCUAUCUUAAUUACAAAAAUUAACUUAUAAUGUGAAAAAUUUUCAAAAUUAUGACAACUUAAUUUCAUAUCUCGCAACCGAUUUGGGAUAACUUAAUUUCCUAAUAAUUAAAUUUCUUUUUCGUUAUUCCACUUUCAACUUGUUGAAUUUUCUUAAAGAACGCCUAAUAAUAAAACAUUUUGAUAGUCCCAUCACUUUCCCGAAUUAAUUAAAUACUUUAACUAGUCUGGUCCCAUCCAUGACUUUAAUUAGCUACUCGUUUCUGAGAAGUUGACGGUUUGACUCUUGAAGUCUUUGCCAUUCUGCUGGUUUGAAAUUGAGGUCUUUAUCAAUAUUCAAGAGGUGGGUCCCUUAAAGAAGAAGGAAGGAAAAAGAAAAAAGAGAUAAUAAGUUUUGAGUUUAUGGAUAUUUUAAGAAAAUGACAGCUUAUUAGAUUUUAGGUAACUUAUUUAUACAUAUUCAAUAAAUUUUUUAAUAUAAAUAUAAAAUUUUGAUCAAAACUACUGAAUUUAUCGAUAGCAUUAUAAUUAGAACUCUAGCUUGCUGUGCCUUAAAGAUGUGGCGUGUGGUUCUAAUUGGAACAACGUAUUCAAGCUUUUGAGAAGACUUGAUCGAGAGAGAGAGAUCGUUCAAUUAUCUGUGUUCUCAAUAGCUGUUGCACUUUACUGACUGAAAUAAAUACAUCGUAUAUAUUCUGAGCCACCCGGACCUUACUUCUCAAAGUUUACUGGGUUGUUGUUGUUGUAUAUUCCCGCCAAAGCGACCAUUAAAAUCUAUGUUUUGCCGACAGUACUCUUGUUCCCUUUUUGGUUUUAAGCAUUUGUUUUCAUUUUAUGGAUGACUUUAAGUUUUAGGGAUGCAGCCUUACUUAAUAUUUCUACAAAAUGCUGAUUUCCUAGCAACUUUUACUGUUGUGUCAAGGUUUUUAUAUAAUUAAAAAGAAAAUAGAACAAUCAAAAUGCAAAAUAAUUCCCUCACAGUAAUCCCAAAAUAAUUCUCCCAAAACAAAAAUAAAAACACAUAAAAAGGAAAAAACCCGAAAAUAAAACAAACACUAAACUAACCUGUUUUGAGUCCAAAAAUACUAGCUCCACAAGCUUGAACUACUUGUGUUUUGCUUCUUAUUUUAACCUACAUGUACGGAUAUUUUCCUUCCAGAAAUCUAUUUCGGAAUUCGGAAGGAGUGACCUGUUAUAUAUCCACUUCUUUUAAGGAUAGUUUGACGGUGCUGGUGGAGGUGGUGGUGGUGGACAAGGAGGAGGAGACUUAAAGUGAGUAUUCCAAUUAGGCUUUGGUGGUGACACUGUUGGGUUGCCUCUGCCCUUAUUCCUGUUUAAACUUCUUAACUCUCUGGCAAUCUUGUGUUGAGAAAACAAUUCCUUGUACGAAUAAUAUUGCAGGGAUUUUGCUUCCACACAAUGGCUAGAGAUGAACAAACAUAUCAGUAGACAUGAUGAAAUUAUAUAUGACUUCAUAAUGUUUCAAAUUAUGAUGUAUGGAACUAAUGAGUUUUGUGAAAACUGAAGUGACAAUUAUGAAUGGUUUAAGCAAUUUAAAGAAAUGUCUCUUAGCUCACUUGUGAAUAUAUUUGUCUACAUUUUUUGUUUGUUUUCCUG